This 486-nucleotide ribosomal RNA is filed under the name uncultured bacterium. Its description in RNAcentral is "partial 16S ribosomal RNA". It matches the Rfam family "Bacterial small subunit ribosomal RNA", at positions 30 to 507 of the family's 1533-position model. The record is from RNAcentral.
AUUGAACGCUGGCGGCAUGCCUUACACAUGCAAGUCGAACGGCAGCACGGGUGCUUGCCCCUGGUGGCGAGUGGCGAACGGGUGAGUAAUACAUCGGAACAUGUCCUGUAGUGGGGGAUAGCCCGGCGAAAGCCGGAUUAAUACCGCAUACGAUCUACGGAUGAAAGCGGGGGCCCUUCUGGCCUCGGGCUUUAGGGUUGGCCGAUGGCUGAUUAGCUAGUUGGUGGGGUAAAGGCCUACCAAGGCGACGAUCAGUAGCUGGUCUGAGAGGGCGACCAGCCACACUGGAACUGAGACACGGCCCAGACUCCUACGGGAGGCAGCAGUGGGGAAUUUUGGACAAUGGGCGAAAGCCUGAUCCAGCAAUGCCGCGUGUGUGAAGAAGGCCUUCGGGUUGUAAAGCACUUUUGUCCGGAAAGAAAUCCUUGGCCCUAAUACGGUCGGGGGAUGACGGUACCGGAAGAAUAAGCACCGGCUAACUACGUG